Molecule: long non-coding RNA, 3982 nt
Organism: Passer domesticus (house sparrow)
Lineage: Eukaryota; Metazoa; Chordata; Aves; Passeriformes; Passeridae
Exons: 4
Source: RefSeq, a predicted model, not a curated record
CCAGGCAUUGUGCCCUCUGCCUGCAGCCAGGCCAUGCUCUCUGUAGGGUCAGGAGCGCUUCUCCCUCUCUGUGGAGUCCCAGCGUCUGUGUGGGGGAACACCUACAUGCGGCCACUAUUGCCCCAGGCUGAAACCUUGUGCUUAGAUGGAAGUAUCAAUGGCAAGGAAAAUGCCCCUUUCAAGCAAAUCUUUAAUAGUUUAUUUUCUGGAUGAAAGAAGAUCCAAGACUGAUGCCAGGUGAAAUACCGACCAACAGUGUUGUCUUUAAAGCCUUGAGAGCCUGAGAGGAAACUCAAAACCUGCUGCUGAUUGUAAUAAGUCCAGUAAACAAUUUCAUCCCUGAAGAAACAUUUCUCAUUGUGUGCUGCACAGAAGGCUUUGCAUCGAGAGUCUACCUUGCUGUAGCCGGGGCUCCUCUUCUCCACUGUUUAUUCCACAUUAGGAGAACAGCAGUUGGGCUUUCUGCAUGGAUUUAUAUUCACACCUCGCGAACCUCUGCCUCCAAGGGAAAAGCAAUAGUGUGGAAGACAAUUUCUGCUGUCAGCUUAUGCACUUGCCAGGAGGAGGCAGGAAUUACCUCUAGUCAUUACUGGUCACGCUCAUAAUCCAAGAGGCUUCUUUCAAGAUGUGGUGGGACACAGGCUUUUUGCACAUUGAAUGUUAAAGGUAGUGUCAGCUUUCAUAGUAAUUUAAGGCUGGCAUUCCUCCCUGCCUUACUCUUGCUUCCAAAGGGCAUCUUUCAUCUUUCUUGGAGGCUUAUCUUUAGCAGACAUCAUAAACAAAAGCCUUUAAACACCCUCACCAUCUCACAGACUGGCUUCAUUCAGUACCUGGCCAGAAAUGCUGGGUGUCCCUUUUGUCUGGGUGAUGGAACAUUUGGCUGAGGGGAACAAGUAUCUGAGGGAGGGCAAGUGCAUGUGAGUGUGAGUGUGUACAUGGGUGUGUGGGUGUGUGAGGCUCCUCAUGCCAGCCUCUCCAGCCUCUGAAUCCUGGGCAGUGUCCCACAGGAGGGUGAGAAGGUGCUUUUCCUGGCACACAGGCACAGGGGGUUCUGCUGCAGACCAGGAGCAUGGAUGUUUGUUCCAUGUUUUGCUGGGAUAAGCUGAGGCAGGAGCCUCAGAACAGAGCUGCAGGUGAUUUGGGGAAAAAUAGUUAAAAAGAAAGACAUUAAAACUGAGGAGGGGGGUGCUGGUGGUUACUAAGCACAGAACAAGGAGAAGCUCACCACGCAGCUGUUGCCCAGCUGUCUUAGUGCACCUUGGAGGAGCUUUUUUGGAUAUUGUGGACUUUGUUUUCCUCCAGCAUGUGAGUUGCUGAUGCAAGGUGAGACACAGAUGAACAUUUGGCUGUGUUUUUUCAAAGCCAGUGGAGUUUAAAAGAGAGCCAUGCUUCAGCAGCAGGGCUUUUCCAGCCCUGGCACUGGUGCAACCCCUUCUGCCCAAGCAUCCACCCACUUAACCAAGGUAUCCCAACCUCCCUCUUCCCAGACAACAGCCACCCUGACUGACCUCUGUGCUGAGCCCUUCCUGGCAAUUAGCAACCUGCCAAGCUAAUCAACACCUCCUGGCAGAGCCCUGCCACAGCCAGGAAAAAUGACUGUGCUCUUGAUCCGGUGCUGGGAAGCACCAGGAGCUCCAGCCAAGUGGGCACCUUGCAGAGUAGGCUCCCUGCCUGCCAGGGUGUGAUGUCCCAAGCUCCCUGAGAGCAGUGGCCCUAGGGAAGGAGGCCCCAUGGCCUGCAGCACACGUGCUUCUGACAGGUUACACUCUGGGAGCAGGAUUACUACAUGGCUUCUGAGAAGCAAUAAACAGCCAUGGCCCAUCUUGCAUAAUGCCACAGUCUGAUUUCCAGUGCUGCUGAACUCCUCCAUUGGAAAGAGGAGCCACAGAAACUGGGCUGUGGGCCAGUCUGUGUCCUGUUGCUCAUGAAGCACAAAGCCUUCUGCCCUUUGACUUUCAAAACACUCACAGCACCCUCCUGCUCCUUCAGGAUCGCCCACACCUUCAUGCCCAUCAGUGCCGCUCUUGGCUUUGCUGGAGAUGGACAUGUUGAGACAGGACAGCUCCAUCUGUCCCUGCUUUGCUUCAUGUCCCACUGGCUUCAUGGUGUGGGCACCUUGUAGCCACACACUGCCUCAAUGUCCUCUGCAAAACCCAUUGCUCAGCUGAUAUUCCCAAAGUGGCAAAUGUGUUCCCUGGGUGGGUGUGUGGCUUCACCCUCUUUGCGCUGCCUGUGGCUCACAGCCAGGAGGUGCCUCAGCCCCAGCUGGCUCACUGGUGGGAUGCUGGGGAGGUUUGCCAGCUCCAGUGCCCAGUGGGACAGGGAUGCAGGGGAGCUGCAGACUCGCUGCAGCCACAGAGCUUUUCUGGGGACUGGUCACUGCCAGCAGCAGCCCAUGGAUCAGUGUCUGGGAUUGCCAUGAUAACCAAACCAUGGCAUGCUUGUGACACUUUCAUUGAAGUGAGUGACCAUUGCUGCACCACUCAGGGGUGGUUUGCAGCAGCACUGAACCACCAGGGCACCUCUCCGAGUCAUGGGGAAGAGGUAGCCACUGGCAGAGGGCUGUUCAGGAGGGGUGUGCUCAGGCUGGCAUGGGGGAAAAACAGGAAAGGCCUGCUAAAAGGGAUUAGAUGCAGCUCUGAAUGUGGAGCAGGGAUUACAGGCAGCCCAGCCUGCCAAGCAAUGCUUAUUGGGAGACCUGAGGAGGGAAAGAGGAGCAUGAAUUAAAUAAUUGCCCAGCAAUUAAUUUCUGAGCACUACCUCUGCUGCUGAAGGACUCUUGCUCUGUUCUCACAAGGUGGACACAGGGGCCAGCACAGCCUAUGCUCAGUUCCUUCAGCAUCACACCCAGGUACUUCAGAGUGAUUUACAAGGAGCUGUCACAUCACCAGCGAGAGAAACAACCCAAAAUGAUGUUCCACCAUGCUCCUUAGGGUGAGCGCUGAGUAAUUACUCCAAUUACACUCCAAAUUACAGGGAAGCCAGUGGCCUUCACACAAGGACAGAUUGCAGAAUCCAUCUUUAAUUGUGGCUUGGGCUGUGCUCUGCUGCCUCCAGUUUGAAGUAUAUGUUCAUUUCCCUCGUGGGUCUGUAAUCACACUGCCUAUCAUCACCUUUUUAUCCACUCCUCUAUUUCUAGCAUGCAUGUCAAAAAAGACAGUAUAUCAAUCAGCCAGGCUUUCUUCACUGCUUCUUGUCAGCAGCAAACUGUGAUCUAAAAUGGAGCAACCAGUUGCCUUCACCUGGAAUUGCCUAGGAGAGGUGUCCAUCAAAAGCCAGUAAGUGACAAGCCCAUGGAGAGCAUGAUUUGUUGCUCCAGGUAAAUGAUGAAGGACAGGGCUUAGCCAGGCAGGGAGAGGCCAGCUGUAAAUCCAGAUCCCUGCCUGACACUGUUGUUAUGUCAAUAGUUAUGAAAGCCCAUCCACAGCUUCUCCCUCUGCCUGCAGCCCCGGUGCAUCCCACCAAGCAGGGCAGGCACAAGGACAAGGCCAUGGCAGGGGCUGCUCUGUCAGCACAGAUUUUGUCUAUAGUGAAGCUGCAGGGCUGUGUCAGGCUGAGCCUACCCACACUUUGGUCACAGCAUUGCCAGGGAUGGGGAACUCACCCAGGCUUUGUCACAGUGUUUCAGAAGGUGCUCACACACUGAAUCCGUGCCUUAUUUCUAACCACAGCCUUCUCUUGUCUUUGUCUGCCAAACAGAGGCACUGCCAAACAUUUAAUCACAUCAAAAAGAGCUUUAAUAAGCUGGGAUCAAGUUAGCCCUUUAACCUCUUUUUCUGGCCCACAUUGAUGGUGUCCCAGGAAUUUCUCUCCAUUAAAAGUCUGUCUUCUGAUCCCUUCAUUGGUCCUUGGCUUCUUCUUUGGGCUUUUUCCAGUUUCCCUGCCUCCUGAGAUGCUGCCCCACACUGGGCUUGGCUCCCAGGGAGGCUGCAGAUCCCUCCUGGACAGAUCUGUUCAGUCCCUUCCCUAUCAGAGGCACCUU